UGCAGAGGUUGACACUUGUCAUUUUGAUGUGACAAACCACAGAGUAUCCACAGCACAGGGAUGAUUAAGUGCUUUGAGGAAAGUUGAGCCCAUCUGGAAAUUAUCAAAAGCUGCUGGUGAAAUGGUAUAAGGGGAGUCAGAAAUAACUGCCCAAGGGAUGGGAAACCUGCUCUGUAUUAGGAGCAGCUAAACUACCCAAAAAAAUCCACGGAGGAUUACUUUGACAAGAAUCUUUUCUUUCUUUCUUUCUUUUUUUUGCUUAAAAGAAGUACACACAAUCUUCUAUUCACCCAGUUUUUAACUAAGAAGGAGGAGUAGAGAAGAAAGAAUAUUGUCUUGGAAGACAUUAGCUCCAGUCUCCAGCUCUGCCACUGACCUUCCAUAUGACCUUGGAAUCUUGAGAAAUCACUAAGGUCUGCGCCUUGGGCACAGACAUCACCCGGAGGGGCAUUCUCCACUCAAUUGGCCUGCUCAGCUCAGCUCCUGGACACUGCAGGAAGAAAGAACCACACAGGAGACCAUUCACUGCCCUGACGGCCACCUUGUCUAUGAGUAAUAUUGAAGGUUCAACGUCCUCCCACAUUAGUAAAGCCGACAGGUCAGCAGUCUGUGAUGGGCUGUGGCUUCAAUGCUCUCGUCUGAAGCCCAGGGAUCCAAGAUCCUGUCUCUGACUUCAGAUGAAACAGGAUAAUUUUGGAGAGUCCCUAUGACAUUUGCAAAGUGUAAAGUAUCAGACUUUUUCUUCUAGGUCUCUGCCAAAUAAUACUUCAAACUAAAACUCCUUGCCUACAGACUUGCUUCAGCAAGCCACGCAUUUUAGAAACUGCAGUGUUGCUGUGUCUGGAACUGGCCAAAGGCUUGCAGGACCCCGUGUGGCGGACCCCUGAGCUUCAUCACCCCCGUGUCUCACUCCUUCUAGGAUGCUGCUGCCAGGUUGCUUCCAUGUCAGACUGUGGGGGCAACAGGACCCCAUACAGAGGGACAGCAUGAACCCCAUCCAUGGAUGGAACAACCUAAAUUUAACUCGAGAUAAUAGAAAAUCCUUGUCCGCUGAAUGAUCCAAGUGGACGGUACAUUCUUUCCACCGAGGAAACAGCAUUAGUCCUUUGGGGCUGAGAGAGGCUGACAGGGAGAGCCUUGGCGGUAGGGGGAAAGGAGGAGGGGAAGAAUUCUAAGUGGGCUUGGGCAGCUAUUCCAUCCGUCUCUCAAGCUGUUGCCCUUUGAGAUUCCCUUGAACUCAAGUAAACCAUAAAUCCCAAUGAAGGGUUUCCACUGAUUGUAAUUAUCCAGGCUUGCUGACCUGAAAAUGCCCCUUGACUCCUCACUUUGCCUUCCACAGAUCUGACCAUGUCAUUCCCUUACUCAAAAUACAGAAUGUUUCUAUUCUGAAUAAACAUACAGAAUUCUCACCCUGGCACU
This is a long non-coding RNA of Phascolarctos cinereus (koala), 1419 nucleotides long. RefSeq lists it as uncharacterized. The record is from RefSeq and is a predicted model, not a curated record. NCBI's taxonomy places the organism in Eukaryota, Metazoa, Chordata, Mammalia, Diprotodontia, Phascolarctidae.